This is a long non-coding RNA of Homo sapiens (human), 542 nucleotides long. Ensembl annotates it as ARPP21 antisense RNA 1. Its record names the gene ARPP21-AS1. Lineage: Eukaryota; Metazoa; Chordata; Mammalia; Primates; Hominidae. The record is from Ensembl.
CUCUCCUCACAGAACCAUUGAUGUGGAAGCAUUCAUCAUAUAGAGUAUAGCUGUGUUGAAAACGGAUUCCAAUUAUGCCUGAACAAAAUAUCCAAGAUAACUGCCACAUCAUGAAAACAUUCUCAACACUGGGAGGGGUUUUAUGGGGAUGCUUUAAUUAUGUGAGGCCUAUGCAAUCAAGAAAAAAUAGUGAUAAGGACAUAAGAAACUCCAAAACUAUGAUCACCAGAAAAAAAUGAGUACCAAGAAAUGAGAUAUUGUCUACCUAUCACUUUGGAUUUUUGUGAAACUCUCAAUUACUCAAUUCAUUGUUCAGAAAAGUUAAAAUGCAUUCAUCUCAUCCAAGUGCCUAUAAAAUCCUACACAUCAAGUUUUCCCAAGUAUUUAGCCUGAGACACAAUACAUAGAAAACUUCAAUAAAUACUUGAAAAAUAAGAAUGAAUAAAUGAGUGAUGGUAAUGAUAUCUGAUGCAAAGACAAGCCUUGUUAGCCGUCACCCAAGAACUCAGCUGGCUACUUAACUUGGCUUCCAUGGAAGUUCC